UACGGAGGGGGCCAGCGUUGUUCGGAAUCAUUGGGCGUAAAGGGCGCGUAGGCGGCUUUGUAAGUCCGUUGUGAAAUCCCUCGGCUCAACCGAGGAACUGCGACGGAUACUGCUUGGCUUGAGUCCCGGAGAGGGUAGCGGAAUUCCCAGUGUAGCGGUGAAAUGCGUAGAUAUCGGGAGGAACAUCAGUGGCGAAGGCGGCCCUCUGGUCCAGUACUGACACUCAAGUGCGAAAGCGUGGGGAGCAAACAGG
This 253-nucleotide ribosomal RNA is filed under the name uncultured bacterium. RNAcentral's name for it is "partial 16S ribosomal RNA". It matches the Rfam family "Bacterial small subunit ribosomal RNA", at positions 524 to 776 of the family's 1533-position model. The record is from RNAcentral.